AACUCAAGGCCCAUGGGAUGCUUAGAUCUGGCCUUCUGGGCUGCCCUGGAAACUGUGAAGGACCAGUCUGCGAUGCUACGUGUGGU
Pseudonaja textilis is the source of this 86-nucleotide non-coding RNA. NCBI's taxonomy places the organism in Eukaryota, Metazoa, Chordata, Lepidosauria, Squamata, Elapidae. The record is from RefSeq and is a predicted model, not a curated record.